UGGGGCACCAUGAUGUUCUACACGUAUAGAGAUAUGUCAGGGUGGCCAUGUUGCCAGGCACUUGUGGGGGCAAGGGCAGGGAGAAGAGCAUGGGAAUUGCCAUGUUUUGGUGGACCGAGUUUCUAAUGCCCAGCAUUUGCAUAUCAAAGCUUGCUGCCAGGCUCUAAGAUCUGGGGCUUUCCUGCUAAACAAGAAACAUUUCUGGAGCUGCUUUAAAAGAGACAAAAACUUUCCAAGGACCCCUUUUCCUCUCUAUCUGCCUAAAAUAAUUUCUUAAUAACUCCUGUCACACUAAGGGACAGACUACUGUGAAUCUUGCUGCUCCUCUGGGUCUUGCUACCCAGUGAAGCUGCCACACUUUAGGCUGGGAAUUUCUGCAAGGAAUCCAGUGAUGUGACUUGUUCUCUAAUCUCCCAGCACUGAGUACCAGCGCCAGCUCUGAUGAGGGUGGCAGGCUUAAGGACUUCUUAAAACCGAAAAGACACAAAUACUCUCAUUUCACAGAAGAAGCUUCUGAGGUCAGUGAAACUGCAAUGUUUUGACAAUU
This 547-nucleotide long non-coding RNA is filed under the name Homo sapiens (human). RNAcentral's name for it is "HSALNT0044735". Lineage: Eukaryota; Metazoa; Chordata; Mammalia; Primates; Hominidae. The record is from RNAcentral.